CGCAGCAAUAACACCCAGAGCUAACAGCAAAAGUGUAACAUCCAUGAUCCAGCGUCACCCAGUUUGUUCGCUGAGUUCUGGUACCCGUACCUCGGAACUGCAAAAGAUAACGCGAUGAUCAGUUUACUUAUAUAUGCACGAGAUUGCUUGGACGGCCUCCUUGUCUUGAAGUCGCACGUGCUACAGCUCCGACAACCGCAACCUACCGCUAUAGGGAUACGCGAGUGCCACAACAACGAUCAUUUAUACCUAUGUGCAACGUGUCACGAUCAAUAUUACAUCCAGAACCGCGUAAAACGCCCCGAUGAAUCUUUCAUGCUCGAAUGUCACAUCGUCGCUUUCCUCGCACGCAAUUAUAUAUAACAAAAACCUACGAGUUAAUGUUUUAAAAGAUAAAUUCCAUGACCAUUUUAAGUUAUUAUUAAAUAUCGAAACCAGAUAAGAUAUUACUAUAGUAUAACUAUGCAAAAUUCGAUGCAUUUUGAUGUUCCACUACCACAACCCUUUAUAUCCCUUUAUAUCACAAUUACAAUCGCGACGAUCAAUAUAUCCUAUGUUUUACUAAUCCACGAUCCAGCCGAGACAGUAUAUAAAAAUAUCACAAUCUUUUGAUCCAAUCCCAAUCCAGUUCCCUCAUAUAUAUUUUGUACGAAAUACCAAGUGAUUUUAACAAAAUCGCAGGAACUUUAUUCAGGAUUUCUUCUGUUAAAAUGAAAUUGCACGUGGUGCACGAGAAUAAAUAAGUACCUUACUCGUUUCAAGGGGUACGAGAAGCACCACGGUUGA
Long non-coding RNA from Bombus pascuorum, 786 nucleotides. RefSeq lists it as uncharacterized. Lineage: Eukaryota; Metazoa; Arthropoda; Insecta; Hymenoptera; Apidae. The record is from RefSeq and is a predicted model, not a curated record. The transcript is spliced from 2 exons.